CUGUCCGGAAGGCCCAAGUGUGCAGAGGGGCGGGUCUCACCUCGGACCAAUCCGAGCCUGGGCGGUGCCGCAAGGUCCAAUCCCUGCAGGAAUAAGGGGAGGAACCUAGGCGCCUUAGGACCCGGGGCCGCGACUGGUGCGGGAGGCAGCUAAUCAGGGCGGUACUUGCAGACCGGGUUGAAGUCCAGGGCCCAGGAACGCUAGGGAAACCGAAAGCAGGCUAUGGGUUGGGCCUGCGGUGGGGCGGGGCUGGGGGUGUGGCCGCGCCCUGAACAAGGAGCAAGGCCAGUACAUAAAGGUUCCUGGGAGCCAAAGGAGCAAGUCAGGGAAGUAGCUUUGGUUGGGUUUCGUGGUAUACAAAGCACAAGGCCUGGGUUGGGUUCGGAGGAAAUGAGGCUUGCGGCGGGGCGGGACUGAAGGUAUGGCAGCGCCCUGAACCUGGAGCAAGGCUGGUACAUAAACGCCUACGUCACAAUCUGGAGUCAGCUGGAGUGUCCCAUCAGGAUGUCUUGACUUCCUUAGAUGCAAGUCAGGCCUUCAUCUUUUCUCACCUGGACAAACCUGCCUUGCUGUCCUGCCUCCAGUCUCACCCUCUUCAAACCUCUCCACCUGGUGCCAUGAUACAGCUAAAGAUCAUGUUCAUCAAUAACUUUGCAGUGGCUACCCCUAACUACAGGACACAGCAGAGCAAACAUGGCAGCAUAUAUGUGAGCUUUGCCUUCUGUAUUGGUGAUGUAUUGCUGAAACAUAUUGUAAAAUGUAUUAACACCGUCACAAGAAACAUUCAUUAUUUCACAGUGUCUGUAGGUCAGGAAUUAAAAGGGGGUGGUUCUAGCUCAGGGUUUCUCAUAAGGUUUUAGUCCAGAUGUCAGCCAGAUCUGUAGUCAAAUGUAGGCUUGACUAGGGCUGGAGAAUAUGCUCCCAUAGCUCACUGACAGCUGGCAAGGUGGUAUUGGCUGUUGGCAAAAUGCCCCAAUUUUUUAUCCCAGAGAUCUCUCCAUAGGGUUGCGUACAUGUUCUUACAAUAUAGUAGCUGGCUUCGUCCAGUGUGGGUGAUACAGAUGAAAUCCGUGUGUUUUGUGACCUAGUCUCAGAAGUCACACACCAUCACUUCUACAUUAUUCUGUUGGUCACACAGGCCGCCCCUGAGGCAGUGUGGGAAGGAUCUACACAGGACGUGACUAUACCAGAAGUGAGGAUCAUUGGAAGUCAUGUUGGAGGCUGGUCACCAUCCCCUUCGCUCUAAACCUAACAUUAUCACUCUCAUAUUUCAUGUUCCACCAGCACCAAAGGAUUUCAGAUUCCCAGGAUCUAUAGGGCCAUGUCUUCCAUCUUUGUGUUCCUCAUGCCUGCAAGAUCUUUUCCUCCCUUCUAUUUGCCUGGUGAAUUCUUAUCAUUCAAAACUAUGUGCCUAUACUUAGUGCCUGGUACAGAAUGGGAGCUCAGUACACAUUAAGCUGAAAUCCAAAGAACAGAAUUAGAAGAUACAGUCCAGGUAGGCUCCAUGCUGUCAUCCCACAUUACCUUGAAAUAUGCUGAAGGUCGGGAAAGUCAGAGUUUGUGACUCACCUGCGCCAUUUUGAAAAAGGGUAUCCGUAUUUUUUCUAAGAAGCCACAGAAUAAUUUAGUUGGAGACAAACUUCCUCCAGAUUUAUAAAAAUCAAUGCCAAAAAUAAAUAAAUAAAUAAAAGCCCA
RNAcentral lists this long non-coding RNA (1695 nucleotides) under Piliocolobus tephrosceles (Ugandan red Colobus). Its description in RNAcentral is "lncRNA (ENSPTEG00000037410.1)". The record is from RNAcentral. Lineage: Eukaryota; Metazoa; Chordata; Mammalia; Primates; Cercopithecidae.